RNA transcript from Lotus japonicus, 3981 nucleotides. RefSeq lists it as uncharacterized. The transcript has 5 exons. Lineage: Eukaryota; Viridiplantae; Streptophyta; Magnoliopsida; Fabales; Fabaceae. The record is from RefSeq and is a predicted model, not a curated record.
CACGCUGGACUAAUCCGGUUCAGACCGGUUCAACAUCUCCUACCCAAACAGUGUUGUUGAUGUUAUUCUAUGUAGAACAAGAUAGCAGCUGAGUCAGUUAACUCCUCCGGCAAGCCAUGGCGGCGCCACCACCGUCGAAGCCUCUCACUCCUCACGACUGGGAAACCCUAAUCGACGAUUUCCAGUACGCCGGCGAUAAAUGGCGCUCUCUCGAUCCUCCUCUCACCGAUCUCCUCUUCACCUCUCUUCUCCGCAAGGACUUCCCCCUCAACCACAAGCUCCAGCUCCUCAUCUUUCUCGACGAAUUCUCCACCUCCCUCUUCUCCGACCACCACCACAACCACCUCGACCGCCUCCUCGACGCCCUCCGAACCACCAUCCACGCGCCACCCGACGCGGCUCACAUAACCCCCGCCUUCAAGGAACAAUUCAUGGUCUCCGCCACCUCGAUCAUCAUCUGCGUAACCGAAAACGAUACGGUUAGGGCUCACACGGAGAGUUUGGUGGAGCUGCUGUUGACGGUUAUCAACCGCCCGAAUUUCGGGUCGGAUCGGCAUACCCGAUCCAUCGCGUGCGAGUGCUUGAGGGAGUUGGAACGAUCGACGCUGUGCUUGCUCUCCGACGUGGCGGGGCACUUGUGGAGCCUCUGCCAGAACGAGCGGACGCACGCUUCUCAGUCAUACAUCUUGCUCUUCACCACCGUCAUUCACAACAUCGUUGCUCGGAAGCUUAGUGUUUCCAUUCUCAACACCUCUCUUCCUAUGAUUCCUUUCAACAUGCCGAAGAUAGAUGAUUCCGGUGCGGGUUUGAAUUACAAGGAGUUGAGGAGGGCGUUGGCGUUUUUGCUUGAGUGGCCUCAGGUGAUGACCCCUUGUGGGAUGAUGGAGUUCGUGUCGAUGAUGAUACCGGUGGCUGUGGCGUUGGAAUUGCAGCCCUCCAUGCUCAAGGUGCAGUUGUUUGGAAUGAUUCAUUCCUAUAACCCUGUGCUUUGCCAUGUUGUUUUGACCAUGUAUGUGCAAUUUUUAGAUGCUUUUGAUGGUCAAGAGGGAGAGGUUUCUCGCAGGCUCUUGUUGAUUUCGAAAGAAGCUCAGCAUUCUUUGGUGUUUCGCUUGUUGGCGGUUGAGUGGUUGUUGGGGUUCAAUCAAUUGAUUUUCAGUAGAAAUGUUGAGAAGACUAAGCCCACCAUUGAAGCUUGCUCUGCAUUUGGUCCGGCUUUGUUUGAUCCGCUGUCUUUGAAGGCCUUAAAGCUUGAACUUCUUGCAUUUUGCUCCAUGUGUGUUCAUGUCUUGAGACUCAAAAGUGGUAAUGACUCUCAUCAUGUUGAGGAUGGUUUCAUUGAUCCAGUGAAGCUGUUUGAACAUGGUCUCCUUUGUGUCUCAUCUUUCAAAUCGCUGCCUCCGGGGAGCACAGAGAUUGCCAUUGCGUUCCGUGCCUUCCAUAAAUUUCUCAUUGCUGCUUCUCCUCAUGCUGACAAUGAUCCUUCCACCACAAGAAAUCUGUUGGACUCCAUGAUAUUUUGUACUAUGCAGGGGAUGCUUGUGAACAUGAUGUUGGAGAGUCGGAAACUGGUUCCUGUUGUUGUUACUUCCGUUGACCGUUUACUCUCCUGUCAAAAGCAUUCUUGGUUGGGUGAGCGCUUACUUCAGAAAUUUGAUGAGCACUUGCUUCCAAAAGUGGGGAUGGAUUAUAAGUUGGUUUAUUUCUUCCCAAUAUUUGAUAGAAUUGCACAGAAUCAGACAAUACCUCCGCGUGGAUUGAUAGAACUGCUAACAAAUUUCAUGAUUUUCCUGGUGGAGAAACAUGGCCCGGAUACAUGGAUGAAGUCUUGGUCCCAGGGAAGUAGAGCUCUUGGAAUUUGUCGAACUAUGUUGAUGCACCACCAUAGUUCUAGAUUGUUCCUUAGACUAUCUCGCCUGCUUGCUUUUACUUGUCUCUACUUUCCUGAUUUGGAAGUCCGUGAUAAUUCAAGGACCUACUUGCGUAUGCUGGUCUGCAUUCCAGGGAAGAAGCUUAGAGACAUCCUAAGCGUGGAGGACAUGAUCCUUGGGAUUUCACCAUCUUCCCACUCAACCUCUUUUUUCAAUGUUCAAUCACCUCGAGCUUCUCAGAAAUUCAAGACAAUAAAAAACUUACCAUCCUGCAUUCACCUGGAGCGUCUGACCCCAUUGCUUGUUAAACAGUUUUGGUCUUUGUCGUUGUCAAAUUUAGUCAUAAGUAACACCAAACCUGCCUAUCUUGAGGGCAUCAGGGACCUACAAGCCCCUGUUGAGGAAAAAGAAUCUUCUGACAGUUCCAAUGCACAGAUCAUUCCUGAAACUGGAAGAAUUAAUCAACCACAAGAGCUGCUUCGAGUUAUGGAUUCUAAAGUUGCAGAAAUUUUGAACACAUUAAGGAAGUACUUUUCAUGCAUUCCUGACUUCAGACAUGUGCCAGGACUCAAAGUUAGAAUAUCAUGCAGUUUGAGUUUUGAAUCUAGUACUUUCAAUCGGAUGUUGGGAAUCAAGGAUGCUGCCACACCCCUGGAAGAGAUAGAUUCACUUCCUGCUAUAUAUGCUACUGUGUUAAAAUUCUCAUCUUCUGCACCUUAUGGGUCGAUUCCUUCCUAUCAUAUACCUUUUCUUCUUGGUGAUCCUCACAGUAAAGAUGAUGCAUCUCAAAAUGGCUCGCUAAGUAUUGUUCCAGUUGGAAAUGAUUCCAGAGGAGAGGAAAAAUAUAGAGCCCCUGUUAUGAUUGACUUGGAACCCAGGGAACCGACACCGGGAAUAGUUGAUGUUCACAUUGAAACAAAUGCAGAAAAUGGUCAGAUUGUCCAGGGUCAACUUCAGGGAAUCACAGUAGGCAUAGAAGACAUGUUUCUCAAGGCUAUUGUUCCACCAGACAUCCCAGAAAAUGCAAUGCCUCGAUACAAGUUUGACUUGUUCGCUGCGUUAUGGGAGGCAUGUGGCUCAUCCUCCAGCACUGGGCGCGAAACCUUUCAAUUGAAGGGGGGGAAAGGGAUUGCUGCCAUCAGUGGAACUCAAUCUGUGAAACUUCUUGAUGUUCCCGCAGCCUCUUUGAUCCAGGCAACUGAGUACCAUCUGGCUCGCUUUGUUGUAGGUGUGAGUGGGGAGCCACUUAUUGAUGUUGUAUUGGAAGGGGGAAUCAUUCAGAAUGUCAUUUGGGAAGAUGCUUCCUCUGAUGCUACAGUUACUAAUCCCGAUACCGGUCCACUUCGUCUUACUUACAGUGGUGAAGAGCAGCAUGAGAAGGGGGUUAUUAGCUAUAGCAGAAAAAGAAACCUUGGCUGUUUUCUUGUUCUGAUAUUUCUUCCACCGCGGUUCCAUCUCCUUUUCCAAAUGGAAGUUGGUGAUGUUUCAACUUUAGUUCGUAUUCGCACCGAUCACUGGCCUAGCUUAGCCUACAUUGAUGAUUAUUUAGAAGCUUUAUACCUGUCAUAAUAGCUAUUGUUUCAGUUACAUCGAUGCUGCAUAAAGAUUUGCAAUUCUCAACCAGCUCGUGGCAAUUGUGGUGGUCUAGGGGAUGCUUUUCAGGUGCAGUAGUAUCUGUCCUUACAAGGGUCUUCCUCCCUUCCAAUUGGGUGAAAAGGUAGCAACGGAUCCGGUAACUUCCUUGCUGUGGACAUAUAAGGGACGGAUUUGGAUCCUCUCACGUGUAAAAAAACUUGAGAGUGUCAAGUUUUACCAUCUCACCAUUAACUUUUGUGUAGAUAAUAAAUGAAAAAUAAAAUAAAAUAAAAUUAAUGGUGAGAUGAUGAAACUUGACACUCUCAAGUUUUUUUACACAUGAGAGGAUCCAAACCCAUAAGGGACUAAGUUGCAGUAAGCUUUGUAAUAAUACAGUGUAAUGAGAAUUAGUGAGUUAGAUAGUACGGUUAUUCUGUUGUAAUAACUGAGCAGUUAGUUGUGAUUUGAGUUACAACUAUUCUGUAUAAAUGCCCCUGUAAACUCAAUCAUGUAAUUAAAUUGAUUCUUUCCAUCUUCA